CGGGGAUGUGAACUUCAAGCCAGCAUAGUAGAAAUUCUGAUCAAUCACAGGUCCGAGAAGACCCAGAAUAAAAAUCUGCAUAAAUAGCGAGAAUGUAAUCUUGGGUCGCCCUUUCCGCUCUAAGAGGAGGGCGAAGGGGGCGAUGGAGAGGGUGGCGAAGGCGUGGCGGUAGACGACCAGGACAUAGUGGCUCAUCCCAUGAUUGAG
This 207-nucleotide unclassified non-coding RNA is filed under the name Hevea brasiliensis (rubber tree). The record is from RNAcentral. Lineage: Eukaryota; Viridiplantae; Streptophyta; Magnoliopsida; Malpighiales; Euphorbiaceae.